AUGAAGUGGCAUCUUGUAUAUUUCGUCCAAGGCUUCAUGCACUCAUUAUGGUGGCUUCAAAGUCCUGGAAUCAGCACUUGUAACUCCGUUCUUGUUCCCCUUGCGCAUGCCAUCAUCUACAAGCUUGAACUUGCUCCAAGGUUCAUCUUUCUUGUCCAAGCUAGGACCUUCAUUUGUAAGCAAAACAAAUGUAUCCAAUUUAGGCAGCAUCAUAUUCUCAAGAGCAUCAGAAUCGUUACCAAGAAACGAAAGUACCUGAUAAUUCAAUUGGCGUGCGGGAGCUCUAGUAAUUGGUCCAGUAUGUAUGGCAGCAGGGGCUGUGGGUGUAACAAUGGUAUCGAUGUCCUCAUCACAAACCAACAAGAUUCGAUCACACAUAUGCUAGAUACUCGAAACACAAAGAGAUACAUGGUCUGA
Molecule: ribosomal RNA, 417 nt
Filed under: Triticum aestivum (bread wheat)
Lineage: Eukaryota; Viridiplantae; Streptophyta; Magnoliopsida; Poales; Poaceae
Description: partial small subunit ribosomal RNA
Source: RNAcentral